Molecule: non-coding RNA, 907 nt
Organism: Paramuricea clavata
Lineage: Eukaryota; Metazoa; Cnidaria; Anthozoa; Malacalcyonacea; Plexauridae
Source: the annotation of a GenBank genome assembly
CUCCACGCUAUUGAAAACAACAACAUAUGUGAACAGAAUUUGAUCGCAAGUUCGCGAAAAUAUACAGCGAAAAUACAGGGACUUUUUCGAUAAAAUAUACGAAAUUUGAAAUGGAAAACCCGCUAAACAGAGAGCCAAAGUAGUUUUCAAGAUUCUCGACCAGAAUAUGUGAAGAUUGCGAAGCGUUUGAUCAACUUUGAAGCGAGAGAUGUUGUACUUGCAUGCUAUGGUCUGAUGAAUUUCAACGCUACGCGUUGCUUCUUGCUGAAUAGCAAUGUAUUAAUCAGAAAUUUAUUCAUACAACUAAACCAACGUGAAAAAACUAAUUUAUUCAUACAACUAAAACAACUUUACAAUGCGAGUAUAUUUGUAAAAUUAUGUCCAAGAAUUUCUGUUCAGAAUUUCCCGUGCAGGAUUGUCUGAUCCUGCACGGCUGUUGACCAAUCAAAUUGCGUGUUUCACUGUAGUUAUUAUAUAAAGGUAUUUUGCCACUCUUUACCAAAGUACUUGUCUGACCAUCUUGAGCGAGUACAUAAACGGUCCUUGGUUAUGAUUUACAGGGGACAGCCGUAUUCAGAAAGCAUGCAACAAUCUGGACCAAACUCCGUAUCGGUCCGAAGACAAACACUGUGUGAAAAGCUUUUCUGUAAAAUAUCAACUGACGGUGACCAUAAACUCCAUGCACUGCUGCCGCUAAAACACCAAACGAAAUAUAACUUAAGACACAAACGCCUCUAUGAUCUUCCAAUGACUAACACUAACCGCUUUAGGAACACUUUUGUACCAUCCAUGCUAUACUGUAAUAAUUGAGUAGACUUACUGGUUACAUGUCUAAUAUUUAAAGUUAUAUAUUGUAAAAUCGACGUAAUUCAACCAGCGUAGCUGGAAAGUAGCUUUUAAUAAAAAU